UACAGGGCGAAUGUCUUGUAAUUGGAAUGAUGGUGACCCAAACCCUCACCAGAGUAGCAAUUGGAGGGCAAGUCUGGUGCCAGCAGCCGCGGUAAUUCCAGCUCCAAUAGCGUAUAUUAAACUUGUUGCAGUUAAAAAGCUCGUAGUUGUAUUUUUGCGUUAGCGGUUUGACCAUUUGGUUGGUUAUUUCGUUUUCGCUUUUGGGAAUUUCCCUUUUUACUUUGAGAAAAUUAGAGUGUUUCAAGCAGACUUUUGUCUUGAAUACUUCAGCAUGGAAUAAUAGAGUAGGACUUUGGUUCUAUUUUGUUGGUUAUUGAACCUUAGUAAUGGUUAAUAGGAACG
This 342-nucleotide ribosomal RNA is filed under the name Babesia canis. Its description in RNAcentral is "SSU rRNA". It matches the Rfam family "Eukaryotic small subunit ribosomal RNA", at positions 484 to 880 of the family's 1831-position model. Lineage: Eukaryota; Apicomplexa; Aconoidasida; Piroplasmida; Babesiidae. The record is from RNAcentral.